RNAcentral lists this small RNA (289 nucleotides) under uncultured Lachnoclostridium sp. Its description in RNAcentral is "5' ureB small RNA". It matches the Rfam family "5' ureB small RNA". Lineage: Bacteria; Bacillati; Bacillota; Clostridia; Lachnospirales; Lachnospiraceae. The record is from RNAcentral.
CGAUCUGCUGCGGACAUAUGAAGUGGAUGUGUGUGUCGAUCCCUCCUGCCGUCACGAUCAUCCCUUCGCCGGCAAGAGCUUCCGUACAGGCUCCGAUCACCAUUCCCGGCGUCACGCCGUCCAUGAUAUCCGGGUUUCCAGCUUUUCCGAUCCCGGCGAUCUUUCCGUCCCGGAUCCCAAUAUCUGCUUUGUAAAUACCCGUAUAAUCAAUGAUCAGCGCAUUUGUGAUCACCAGAUCCAACGCCCCGUCUUCCCUGGUGAUCUUCACUGACUGGCCCAUGCCGUCCCG